This 504-nucleotide ribosomal RNA is filed under the name uncultured bacterium. Its description in RNAcentral is "partial 16S ribosomal RNA". It matches the Rfam family "Bacterial small subunit ribosomal RNA", at positions 29 to 523 of the family's 1533-position model. The record is from RNAcentral.
AUUGAACGCUGGCGGCAGGCCUAACACAUGCAAGUCGAGCGGUAGCACAGAGCGCUUGCUCUCGGGUGACGAGCGGCGGACGGGCGAGCAAUGUCUGGGAAACUGCCCGAUGGAGGGGGAUAACUACUGGAAACGGUAGCUAAUACCGCAUAACGUCGCAAGACCAAAGAGGGGGACCUUCGGGCCUCUUGCCAUCGGAUGUGCCCAGAUGGGAUUAGCUAGUAGGUGGGGUAACGGCUCACCUAGGCGACGAUCCCUAGCUGGUCUGAGAGGAUGACCAGCCACACUGGAACUGAGACACGGUCCAGACUCCUACGGGAGGCAGCAGUGGGGAAUAUUGCACAAUGGGCGCAAGCCUGAUGCAGCCAUGCCGCGUGUAUGAAGAAGGCCUUCGGGUUGUAAAGUACUUUCAGCGGGGAGGAAGGCGAUAAGGUUAAUAACCUUGUCGAUUGACGUUACCCGCAGAAGAAGCACCGGCUAACUCCGUGCCAGCAGCCGCGGUAA